Molecule: ribosomal RNA, 323 nt
Filed under: uncultured eukaryote
Lineage: Eukaryota
Description: partial 18S ribosomal RNA
Rfam family: Eukaryotic small subunit ribosomal RNA
Source: RNAcentral
CCCUUAGAUGUUCUGGGCUGCACGCGUGCUACAAUGGCGUUUCCAGCAAGUCUGCGAACCCGAGAGGGCCAGCGGAUCUUCGAAUUGGCGUCGUGAUCGGGACAGUCGAUUGCAAUUAUUUGACUCAAACGAGGAAUUCCUUGUAAUCGCGAUUCAUCAUAUCGCGCUGAAUACGUCCCUGCCCUUUGUACACACCGCCCGUCGCUACUACUGAUUGGAUGUUUAAGCGAGGUUCUCGAACUGCUAGCGACUUAGCUUCGGUGAGGUCGCAGUGUGGGAAGUGAACCUAGCUUUGGUGUCUAGAGGAAGUAAAAGUCGUAACA